RNAcentral lists this ribosomal RNA (337 nucleotides) under uncultured soil bacterium. Its description in RNAcentral is "bacterial SSU rRNA". It matches the Rfam family "Bacterial small subunit ribosomal RNA", at positions 26 to 361 of the family's 1533-position model. The record is from RNAcentral.
AGAUUGAACGCUGGCGGCAGGCCUAACACAUGCAAGUCGAGCGGCAGCACGGGUACUUGUACCUGGUGGCGAGCGGCGGACGGGUGAGUAAUGCCUAGGAAUCUGCCUGAUAGUGGGGGAUAACGUUCGGAAACGGACGCUAAUACCGCAUACGUCCUACGGGAGAAAGUGGGGGAUCUUCGGACCUCACGCUAUCAGAUGAGCCUAGGUCGGAUUAGCUAGUUGGUAGGUAAAGGCCUACCAAGGCUACGAUCCGUAACUGGUCUGAGAGGAUGAUCAGUCACACUGGAACUGAGACACGGUCCAGACCUCCGUACGGGAGGCAGCGAGUGGGGAA